This 404-nucleotide unclassified non-coding RNA is filed under the name Deniquelata barringtoniae. RNAcentral's name for it is "partial internal transcribed spacer region". The stretch from base 1 to 46 matches the Rfam family "Eukaryotic small subunit ribosomal RNA", at positions 1786 to 1831 of the family's 1831-position model. Lineage: Eukaryota; Fungi; Ascomycota; Dothideomycetes; Pleosporales; Didymosphaeriaceae. The record is from RNAcentral.
AAGUCGUAACAAGGUUUCCGUAGGUGAACCUGCGGAAGGAUCAUUAACGUACAAUAAGCCUAUGCUCCGGGAGGAGUACGCUUUAGCGGGUGUGUUAGCGGCCACGGAGGCGGCCGUGUUAUCGCAGUUGGGAUGCCAGCACAGGGAAACCGGUGUGCUGAUCCCCCCUGUACGAGGCACGGAAGCAGUACUCAGCUUGCUGGGUACACUCUGGGAGGUGUGGGGUUCUACAAAAACCCCUUCACGCGCACAUGACUGAAUCCUUAUUCUACUCGUACCUCUCGUUCUCCUUCGGUAGGGCAACCUGCCGUUGGAACCUAUACAAACUCUUUUUUUGCAUCUAGCAUUACCUGUUCUGAUAAAAACAAUCGUUACAACUUUCAACAAUGGAUCUCUUGGCUCUG